Molecule: small RNA, 499 nt
Filed under: Histoplasma capsulatum
Lineage: Eukaryota; Fungi; Ascomycota; Eurotiomycetes; Onygenales; Ajellomycetaceae
Also listed under: 1 other name
Description: hypothetical RNA
Source: RNAcentral
UGGCCCGCCAGCCAGCUGGUCUGAUUCAAACCACAUAUCUGUUGUUUACGCAGGAUAUUAUCACUUUUCCAUGCUACGAUGAAUAGCUGGUGUUUUGCCGUAACUUUGUCUGUUUUAUUACUUCAUUCUAUUUGUUUUUGUAUUACACCAGGCUUUACACCAGGCCAAUCUGGUUUUGAAAUGGACAAAGUUUCAAGUUACUGGUGAAUGCAUGGGUGAAAUAAUCACUAGGUACUCUGUAUCUAUGUUAUCUAGCGGAUUAAAGGAGUCAGAAAUGGGGGACGAGCUACGCGGGAAAUAUACCACAUGGACACGCCAAAAGUUUAAUUCUCCCCUUCUGGAAAAUGUUUGUGUGCAUGAACUCCCAUGCGUGGCGGUGACAUUUCGUCUCUUGAUCGCUUUGGACUCUUCCUGUUUCGGGUUAAAGGGUAGGGUAGGAGACAAGUUUUUCCUCUUCUUCUGCUUCGGGCGCGGACCGCUGAAGCAAAGAUCAAGCAAG